This 727-nucleotide long non-coding RNA is filed under the name Mus spicilegus (steppe mouse). RNAcentral's name for it is "lncRNA (ENSMSIG00000016114.1)". The record is from RNAcentral. Lineage: Eukaryota; Metazoa; Chordata; Mammalia; Rodentia; Muridae.
GAGUCUCAGAGACUGUUGACUUGGAAGCUUCAGACCUGCCGUCUAGUCUAAACCCAGCGUUGCCACUUAAUGAACCAUGUCACUGGAUGCCGGGGUCACUUCAUUUCCCUAAUUCUUCUCUUUAAAGGAGGUUGAGAGAGAAAACGGAGGAGAUGAACCAUAACCUGGGUCUCCAAUUUAGGGGAAAGCAAGAAGGACAAACGAAUGAUAUGAGGACUGACAGCCAUUGGCUUCCAAGACCAUUUGUAUGGGGACCAGAGGAGACUGGAUCCAGUUGGGAGACAAGGCAGAGCCAUCAUCAUGUCCAUGAAAUUACAGCGAAGAAGUAAAACAACGUGCUUCGAGUUACAGAGCAGCAGUCCCUCGGCUCCAUUUAGAGAAGCAGUACAUGGGCAGAGCCGUGCUUCCAAGGGAUGCGGUCCACAGCCCGUUCUGCAGAUGGGCUCCACUUGCUUCCUGGGGGUGCCACUUCAAAAGCUGCCAUUGUGGAGCAGUUCCAGUUUCUGCAGUCUCACAGGACCCUGGAGAGCCAGCCUUGACCUGUUGUUAACUGAGGAGGCUUCUCACGGAAGAAGCUGCUUGACAUUCCGCAGGAAGAAAUGUGGAAUCCCGCAGAAAAACACAGCACCUUUGAGAUCACCCUCAGCAAGGUGGAUGGAAACUCCAGAGGAGAACUGGAAAGGCCAGUGUGACAGCCAACUCGGGCCUCUGGGAGGGGCCUCAAGGA